AAGAAGGCUUUCGGGUUGUAAACCCCUUUCAGUUGGGACGAAGCCUCGUCGGUUAAUAGCCGCGCGGGGUGACGGUACCUUCACAAGAAGCACCGGCUAACUACGUGC
RNAcentral lists this ribosomal RNA (108 nucleotides) under uncultured bacterium. RNAcentral describes it as "partial 16S ribosomal RNA". The record is from RNAcentral.